Non-coding RNA from Heterocephalus glaber (naked mole-rat), 3801 nucleotides. The record is from RefSeq and is a predicted model, not a curated record. NCBI's taxonomy places the organism in Eukaryota, Metazoa, Chordata, Mammalia, Rodentia, Bathyergidae.
AAAAAUAUGACAGAUUGAAACCUGGUAUAAGGAGUCUGAAGGGAUCUGAAUGAAAAGGGGGGCCCAGAAGACACAACUCAAGUAGGGAAGAGAGACAGGAAAUGUGAUGUUUCCAGUUCCCACCUCAAACUGUCAGAAAAUGACCCAGACAAAGUACCAGAAAGCAAUAGGAAGAAGGUGUUGAGGCAGAUGCUAAGACCCUGACUUGGGGGACAAGGACGACUUGGGAGUGAGGGGAUGGGAGAGUUUGAACUCUAGUGGUGAAAAGACUAAAAUGUGCGCUUGUGGCAAUCUCAGGGAUGGGGAGCAGGGGGUGUCACAGGGCCUUAGGGGGAUGGAAUUCCAGGACAGAGGGCUGAAACUUGGGCAGAGGGUUAGGGUGGGAGGGUCAAAGACCAGGGACAAGAUGGAAACCUUGGGAGGGUCUCAGGGAGGAGGGAGUAUUUGGGAUGAAGAGUCUCCAGGAUUUAACAGGAGGGCCUCUGGGAGGAGAGUCUAUAGCCCUCGGGGUGUCUGGUAAUGAGGGGGUCUAUAGGACUCAGGGUUCACAGACUGAAGAAAGUCUACAUGAUGAGGCAUCCCCAGGACCAAAGUAGAAGCCUCAGAAACAAGAGGCUCCACGACGAACAGCUUGGAAGCGGCUGCAGCUUGGAAGUGCUGUACAGCCCAGAGCGCACUGCUCUGGGAGCUGGUAACCCUGUUCUGGCGUGGAGCUACGAAGGCUACAUCAUCUGUACUCCCUUCUCAGACCUUCUUGGGGAAUAGCCCUCCUCCCCCCAUUUUUCCAGACUUUCCACAGGGAUCUCCUCUUCCCACCGUAGGGAACUUUCCCGCUGGAGCGGCCAUUAGCCCUUCUGGAAUCUUCUGAGGGACGUUGUGGAACUUUCCCCAGGAGUCCUCAUUCCUCUAACGAGACUUACCAGUUCUCGAACAUUCCCGCGGGAAUCAUCCAUCACCACUUCUAGAACCUUCCACAGGGGCUGCCCUUCUUUUCAGACCCUGGGGCUGCUGCUCACCCGCGCUCUCUCCGAACCCUGGUGGCCACACGCUCAGAAGUGAGGAAGUUCUAGAGGACAGAUCCACUGCAGCCCGCAGGGUUUCCCAUCAGCCCAAAAGCACAGCUGGAAAUCACUUGAUAGGAAUCUGCCCUCUGUCUGGAGGGAGUGGGGGAGUCUGCAAGGGAGGAGUGUUCAGAAUGCCUGGAGUCCUCAUUUGUGCUAAAAGACUGGAAGGCCUCUGCUGAAAGCUCUGUGACUCCUAGCUGGCCUCCAGGGAGCUGCACUCCUGUCGCCUGUGGUCAGGUGGAUGGAAAGGGGCCUGAUUUUACCCCAUCCCUGGGGCGUGGCUUCCUGCUGCACAGUCAGCUUUAGAUGCUGUGCCCUGUGCUGCUUCUGAGCACUGCAGGUGAGGUGUUGCCUCCAACUGACUGGAGCUUCAGCCUCUAGCAGUUUGUGCAGAGGAGGCUCCCCACUGAGUAGGAGGCAGAAUCCCACUGCUGACAGGGGAGAUGGAGCCUCCUCAGGGAGUGGGGCUGCUUGGGGUGAAGAAGCAGUGUGAUUGUCACCAGCUAGCAUGGGUCAUUGCUUUAGUGAUAGUGGAAAUUACAUGAGUUAACAGGCAGAAGCUUUAAUUGAUAAGUUUAUUACAGAAAAAGAAAUAAAGCUGACUGUCUUGUAGGCAGCUCCAGGAAGAGAUAGAGAAGUCUUCAUAGACAGCCCCUCACAACAGAUACACAUCAUUUUUAUGAUGUCUCAAAGUAAUGUCAUAAUUAUUCUUGGACAUUUUCUCAAAAGAGGCUGGGGUCUCUGUACAGGAUGAAAUUUUGUGCAGUGUGAGUUUGCACAGUGCCCACAAUGUGCUUGCAAAUGUGUUAUGUCACCCCUCUGAGUGGAGAUUUUAUGGAAAUGCAUUGUAAUGAAGGUAUAAAUGAAGUUUAGAUUGCUCUGUCAAAUCCAUUGCUGUCUUUGCUUGUACCAGCCUCAUCUAGUUUGUAUGAGCACACUACCUUCUUGUGCCAAGGACUACAGUGGCUUGCUCGCUUAAGUAAUAGCUUGAUUCACCUUCCCCCUCUUAUACCCAGAGUUGGGGAUGCCUACCUGUUCUUUCUCAGACUGCUAGUUCAAAGCCCUGCCAUUAUCCUUCUGUCUCAUCAGGACCCGAUGCAUUUACAGCAAAAACAGUGCAUGUGGGAUCUCUCAGGACAGUGCUUCAGAUGCAGGCUACCACCUGGGCCUGGGGAACAUUCCUGGAGCCAUAGUGGGCAUAUGAAGUCUCAGAUGAGGUUCUUCUGGGGCCUCCUGUUGCCUGUCAUCAGUUGAUGUCUUUGUGAUGCCAGGGCCAAGAAAGACUUGAUUCCAGAGUAGGAAUUCACUCCUAAUGACCUUGAGCCCUGCCUUCAUGUUUGGCUUCUAGCCUGCUCUGCACUGGUUCUCCUACUGGUCAUCUUGGCCCUUGUAGUGUCAUGUUGCUGGUGAAAACAGGUGCUACUUAAGUGGACAAUCACAAGAGUGUUUCACAAGUUGUAUUUGAGAUCCAGAGUACGUGGUUGAUACAGACAAAAACUUCAAGGUGUGGGAGGGACCUUGGAUUAAGUUGCCUUAUGAAUUAGCCCCAGGACUGACCAGGCUGCAUUCUAUCUGCUCGGGAGAAGUGACAGCAAUUUGUGUCAAAUGAAGGCAAAAGUGUAGCAAAGCUGGUAUAGGUACAACCUGAUUCACAGGCUCUCUGACCCAAGAAACUGCCAGCUCUGGGAAGGGGGAAUUUUAAGGUGGAGUGGGAAAAGACACGCCACCUUACUGCUGGGACACCUACGCCAGUGCUCAACCCAUGCCCAUGUUGAACUGUGGGGAGAGUUUGCUACUGCUUCUGCUGCUGCUGUCAUGGCUUCCCUCAGAAGUGACAGAAAAGCCUGAAAACCUCAACGACCCUUCUGACAAAGGCUAUCAGCUCUACGUGUCCUCAUAGCGCAUAUGCUGACUGCAUCCCUACUGCUGAGUCAGAGGCCUGAGAGAAAACCCUGUGCAACAGCUUUUGCAUUUGUAUACGUUUUCUGGGCACAGGGCCCUGUGCAAAUUCAGAGCAUCAGCAGCAAUAUAUGUCCCAGUUGGAAAAGUUGGGUCCUUAAAUCUCUCUUCAGCUCACAGAGUUCUGCUUUUUGUUGAGCAAGAUCAAUGAAACAGAGUUAUUUACUUCUCACUGUUUGAGGGAUGAUUCUGGUUGACACAGGGAAUUCCAGAGAAUUCCACAGUCUGACCUGGGUCCUGAAUUGGAGCUGGGUCUGCCUUAGGAUCAGUUAUAAAGAUAAGCACAGCUAAGCCUCUUUCUUCUUAUAGGCUGUCAGCAUAGUGUCAUCCACGUCCUGCUGGUGCUAUAGCUUGAAUGCAUGCACCCCUCCAAUAUUCCUGUGUUGAAACUUGACUCCUAAGGUGACAGCAUUAAAAAGUGAGCCCUUGAGAGGUGGUCAAGCCAGGAGGGCUCCUCUCUCAGGUGUGGGAUGAGUAGCUUGUCAAAGGGCUUGACGGGGUGAGUUCAGCCCUUCCAGCCCUCCUGCCAGUUGAAGACACCUCAGUGGUGCCAUCUAUGGUGAGCAGUCCUCACCAGCCACAAAGUCUGCCAGUGCUUUGUCUUGGACUUCCUGGUCUCCACCACUGUGAAAAACCGAUUUUUAAAAUUAAUUUAAUUGGUACAUUUUAUUGGUACAUUUUAGGUAUACAAUUCAUUUACAUUUAUCAUUGGCUGUUUGUACCUGUACAUGAUAUAUCUUGGUUCUUAUUUUUUUCCCCAUUACCUGUGCGCCCUUCA